ACUGGGCGUAAAGGGUGCGUAGGUUGUUUGGUAUGUCAGGUGUGAAAUCCCGGGGCUUAACUCCGGAACUGCGCCUGAAACUACCAAACUUGAGUAUAGGAGGGGAUAGCAGAAUUUCUGGUGUAGCGGUGAAAUGCGUAGAUAUCAGAAGGAAUACCAAUGGCGAAGGCAGCUAUCUGGACUAAUACUGACACUGAGGCACGAAAGCGUGGGGAGCGAAAGGGAUUAGAUACCCCUGUAGUCCACGCUGUAAACGUUGCACACUAAGCUUCGGAACAUCGACCGUUUCGGGGCUCUAGCUAACGCGUUAAGUGUGCCGCCUGAGGACUACGGCCGCAAGGCUAAAACUCAAAGGAAUUGACGGGGGCCCGCACAAGCGGUGGAGCAUGUGGCUUAAUUCGAUGCAACGCGAAGAACCUUACCUGGUCUUGACAUAUAUUGGAAUCUUAGCUGAGAGGCUUUGAGCUCUUCGGAGCCGAUAUACAGGUGCUGCAUGGCU
Molecule: ribosomal RNA, 499 nt
Filed under: uncultured Opitutia bacterium
Lineage: Bacteria; Pseudomonadati; Verrucomicrobiota; Opitutia
Description: bacterial SSU rRNA
Rfam family: Bacterial small subunit ribosomal RNA
Source: RNAcentral